This 1317-nucleotide small RNA is filed under the name Pongo abelii (Sumatran orangutan). RNAcentral's name for it is "processed transcript". The record is from RNAcentral. Lineage: Eukaryota; Metazoa; Chordata; Mammalia; Primates; Hominidae.
GGAGGGGGUGGCAUCUUCCGUCUUCAGGCGCGGGCCUGGCCCAGAGGCGACAGGAAGCCAGGACGCCGGGGAUUGUCUCUCGCAACCGCAGCCCAGCCCCAGUCCGGGAGGAAGUUCUGCCGGGCGCUCUCCGCGGGUGCCUCCCUGGUUAUACUGUUAUACAGGAAACCUGGCAGCGCCGGAGCCGCGCGGUCGAGGAGGGAGCGCGGGACGCCGAGCCCACGCAAGCCUGCCGGGACAAGUGGAGACGAGGCCGGCGAGCGGACGCCCCGAGGUCGGCGAAGGAGCUGUGGCCGGGUCCCCUUCUUAUCCAGCCCGAGACAUUGCGCUCCGGUGGGCGUCCCUGCGCUGGGAAUCCCGCUCGGAGUUUUUCCAGGCCCGGCCGGGUUGCGCCGGGAAAGGCCCUGGUGGGGGAGGUGGGCCCGGAGCGGGCAGGUCUGCAAUCCGGUUGGAAGGGCUCGCAGUGGGUGAUUCAGGGUGCAAAUGACCUCCCCGCGAACGGGAACGCCCGCACUAGACAACCAGUCCUAACCCGGCAUUCCCAGAGCCGCGGGCGGGAGGGACGCAGGGACUCCGGGACAGCAAAUCCCCGGGGGAGAAGGGAAGGGGGAAGGCGGGGCAGGGGAGGCCCACCCUCCUUGGGCUCCGCUAGCGACCAGCCAGCGCCCCUUCAGACGCAGCCUUCCUGGCUCCCGGCCCCGGCCUUCUGCUCCAGGCCUCGUCCCAAUGCCCCCCAAGGUCCCCAGCAGAGGCAUUCUGGCUCCUCCUCGCCCCUCCCAGACACAGCUGCUUUGGGUAUGGGUGACAGCACUCCUGAGCGUCCCUGUCCCUAUUCGCUGCCGUUGCCAGCUCCGAUUCCGCUCAACCUCUCGGGCCCCCCGCUGGAAGCCCCGCCCAGGGCGAUGGUAGGGGCCUAACCUGCCGGCUCCGCCCACCCGGCCCUUGGGCUCCCUGAGGCCCGCCCAGCCGACUCGAGGAACGCUUGAGAAAGUGGCGAAGGAGCCCUACGGGAGUCCCAGUUGGACCCUGCUCCUUCGCUCCCUCAGCCUCGGCAAGCGGCGGUCUCCUGGCCCUUGGCCCGGGUCACCUUAGGAGGCAGGAGGAGAUGUGGUCAGUGUGGGAGCUUGGAGGGGCCAUGCACUUCCGGAGAAGACCACCGACUCAUGGCUUUGGUGGAGGGGCGCCGGCAGAUUUAGCUGGAGAGCAAUGGUGUGAUCUCCACACACUGCAAUCUCCACCUCCGGGGUUCAAGUGGUUCUCCUGCCUCAGCCUCCCAAGCAGAUGGGACUACAGGUACUGGUAGUUAACUCUCAAGGA